AACGAACGCUGGCGGCGUGCCUAACACAUGCAAGUCGAACGAGAAAGGGGCUUCGGCUCCGAGUAAAGUGGCGCACGGGUGAGUAACACGUGGGUAACCUGCCUCUAAGAUUGGGAUAACUCGUCGAAAGAUGAGCUAAUACCGAAUAAGACCACAGUUCCCGCGGGAACAGGGGUCAAAGGUAGCCUCUGCUUGCAAGCUAUCACUUAGAGAUGGGCCUGCGCACCAUUAGCUAGUUGGUAGGGUAACGGCCUACCAAGGCAAAGAUGGUUAGCUGGUCUGAGAGGAUGCUCAGCCACACUGGAACUGCGACACGGUCCAGACUCCUACGGGAGGCAGCAGUGGGGAAUAUUGCGCAAUGGGCGAAAGCUUGACGCAGCAACGCCGCGUGAGUGAUGAAGGCCUUCGGGUCGUAAAGCUCUGCCGGGAGGAACGAAUGCUCCUGAGGUUAACAGCCUCGGGAGGUGACGGUACCUUCAAAGGAAGCACCGGCUAACUCUGUG
RNAcentral lists this ribosomal RNA (503 nucleotides) under uncultured bacterium. Its description in RNAcentral is "partial 16S ribosomal RNA". It matches the Rfam family "Bacterial small subunit ribosomal RNA", at positions 29 to 507 of the family's 1533-position model. The record is from RNAcentral.